This 849-nucleotide ribosomal RNA is filed under the name Triticum aestivum (bread wheat). Its description in RNAcentral is "partial small subunit ribosomal RNA". The record is from RNAcentral. Lineage: Eukaryota; Viridiplantae; Streptophyta; Magnoliopsida; Poales; Poaceae.
AUGUUUCAACUGCAGCUGGCCUGGGCAUUAUGUGGGGAAUUGUGUGGAGGCAAAAAAUGUUUUAUCUGCGAUGGGAAUCACAACAUUAACAAUUGUGCUGCCUGGGAAAAACCACAACCUGCUGCCACUUACUUUGGCGGUGCUGCUUCAGGGCUGGGAUUUUAUCAUAUCGAAGUUCCUGUGGCGGCUGAAUCUAGCUGGUUGAAUUACAAGAACUGUGUUGUUCUCAAGGUGGUUAAGGGAGAGGUUUCUGCCUCAGAUCUACUAACUCAGUUAAAUGGGAUCUUUUGUAAGAACAAAGAGUGGCCAUGGCAAAUCAGAGAAUUGGAGAACAAGAAGUUCCUGCUGAGAUUUCCCCCUUGGAAAAAUGUGGAUGACCUAAUUGAAUUUCCUCCAUUUGAACUGCCAAUUGCUGGUGUAUCUGUCAAAAUCUGUGAAUGGGAAGGAAUGUUGGAUGAGUUUGGAGCACUGACUGAGGCCUAUGUAUAGAUUGAAGGAAUUCCACCUAAGUGGUGCGCCUGGAAAGUUUUUGCCCAGAUUACAAUGUGUUUUGGGAUUCUGGUGGAUGUUGACUGGAAUGGUAUUUUCAAGAGCUUCUGUGAAAUUAUUCGAGUCAAAGUUGCCUGCAGAGAUCCCAGGAAGAUUCCUUUUGAGAGAUUGGUGGAGAUGAAAAAGAAACUAUAUCUGCUGCUCUUUACAGUGGAAGGGUUCGAGCAAAAUGGUGAGGAUGCUGAUGGAGGGGAUGAUGAUCCAGAUCUGGAUAAUCUUGAGGGAAAUGAUGGAAACAACAAGAAAGAUGCUGAGGACAAAGAGGGAAUGGAAGAAGACAAUGAUGAGGCGAUUGAUUAG